Molecule: small RNA, 690 nt
Filed under: Pan troglodytes (chimpanzee)
Lineage: Eukaryota; Metazoa; Chordata; Mammalia; Primates; Hominidae
Description: sense intronic
Source: RNAcentral
AUGGAUGAAACAACUAAAAAUCUGAAGAUUUUAUAAGAUUUCCAUAUGCUGUAGACCACAAGGAUGAGGCAGUUGUUGUCCUACCUGGAAGCAGGCAGUGCCUUGACUCAUUUGCUCCAGACCCUGUCUCUGACAUGCUUGGCAGACAUUCUCCCCAGAUGAGUCACUCCUGAGACCUGCAUUUGAGUGGAUCUUCCAUGUCCUGCAACCCUGAUUUCCACCUCAGCCAUUCUUGCCCUUAUUACCUUAUCCAUGUCAUUAUUGAACUUGCUCCCUGCUAUAAACUUUGCAUGUGUGUGGACCUCCAAAAUUCCUAUUUUGAAAUCUAAUCACUGAUAUGCAAUAGAAUUAAGUGGUGAGGACUUUUGAGAGGUGACUGGGUCAUUGAUAUGGUUUGGCAGUGUCCCAUCCAAAUCUCAUCUUGAAUUGUAACUCCCACAAUUUCCACAUGUCAUGGGAGGGACCUGGUGGCAGGUGAUUGAAUUAUGGGGGCAGCCCUUUUCCUGCACUGUUUUUGUGGUAGUGAAUGAGUCCCAUGAGAUCUGAUGGUUUUAAAAAGGGGAAUUUCCCUGCACAAGUUCUUCCCUUGUCUGCCACCAUGUGAGAUGUGCCUUUCACCUUCUGCCAUGAUUGUGAGACCUCCCCAGCUACGUGGAACUGUAAGUCCAAUAAAUCACUUUCUUUUGUAAA